Lutra lutra (Eurasian river otter) is the source of this 3573-nucleotide long non-coding RNA. RefSeq lists it as uncharacterized. The transcript has 3 exons. Lineage: Eukaryota; Metazoa; Chordata; Mammalia; Carnivora; Mustelidae. The record is from RefSeq and is a predicted model, not a curated record.
UAUUUGUUUUUCACAUAAAAGAUAUUCAUGUGGAAUUCCGUCCCGGAUGGGGUCCUUUGUUUUAGAUGUCAGUUGAUGUCAAAGGUCAAGCAUUAGCCUUCAUUUUACAGUUUGAAGUUGGGCUUUGGGUAUGUCCGCGUGCCCAUCGCGACAGCAAUACAAACAGAAAACCACCUACGCUGGGCUGUCUGUCCCGGCAGGCUCUAGACCUUUGGGAGAUUUCCCGGGGUAGGAGUGCCCGCCCCCUCGAGAAGCCCGGAUGUUCUAGCCGGUGCCAGUUUGGGGGAAGGGGAUCCUUGAAGCUGGGCUCGCGCAGCCGCAGUCAGAAUUUCUGGAGGCAGGGAGAGCCCAGCGGAUAUGAAACCUUUAAAUGGAGGGGCAGGCUGAAGUAAGUGAUGUCUACAGGAAGGAGAAACUCCUCGUUAGUGCUUCCCAUAUGGUCUAGCGGUUAGGAUUCCUGGUUUUCACCCAGGCGGCCCGGGUUCGACUCCGGUAUGGGAAGGCGGUUGUUUCAGGUUUUUGUGGUGGCCAGAAUUUUGUAUUUUCAUCUCAGGUCACAUGGGGCGUUUCUUUCCAUUUAAGCCUGAGAAAUUGGGGCCUCGGGGAGCUCUGGGACCUAUCAUUCUGUGUUUUGAACGAAGUGUUAAUUGUCAUCACGUCAUUAACUAUUUUUUCUAUGGGUAAUUUAUUAACUGUAUAAGAUACCAUAUACAUUAUAGGUGCAAAUACCAUUAUAUUUAUAUAUUGAAUAAUAUUUAAAAUACUCAAAAUUUAUUGUUAAUCUUCAUGGAGGGCGACCACUGCCUAGUCUUUCCACACACCUCUGGGUAGUGGAACCCUCCGGGAGGAAGGAAGAAAUAAGUGGAGUCAAGACACUUGCAACUUUUGCUCCAGAGCCAGUCCAGAGGCUGGGCCGCAACAAGCGGAGCUGUCUCUGGAGGGGCAUAGGAUGAAGUGCCUGAAUGGACAGGAGAGGGCCAGUUGGAAGAAGUCUCCAGCAAUUAAUUUUCUCUGGUCUUGUGGCUGCUUUGUUUGCCUUCUAGUCCAGUGGUUAGGGUUCUUACGCAAACCGGUUUGCCUUCUACCGGUUCUACCGGUUCUAAGUAAUUCUAAAAAUUACUUAAAUUUUUUUAAAGAAUCUCUCUCCCCCCAACACUUGCACACUUUUAGUCAAAAGGAGAGCCAAACGUACACACAUGAGUUACUAAGUGCCUUUGUCACUUUCCCACCCCCUUCGUCUGGUUCACUUACUCAACCAAGGGAGGUUAUGGGCAGGGCUGAGGUCCUGCCUUCAGAAAUGGACCUCUACACUUAUUUACUCACUCAUACAUUUUGGGGGGGGGGGGAGGGAUUAUUUCUGUGAUCCUAUUAAUUUAAAAUGUGUAGGUUAAAAUAGGAUACAUUGGAGCUGGGAAGUCAUCACUGGUUCUCACAAGAAAACUGUCUAAAAUUUAACAACUCUUCUUAGAUCCAUCAGAAAAUUGAAGUCACGGGGCAAAUUGCUGCCUUGAAAAUUGGGGAGAAGAAUGAAUCAUAGUAUACCAGGCUCAGAAGUUGCUGCUGGAGCCAGUAACUGGGGAAAAAUGGCUCAAUCAGGAAGAGGAAUGAGACCUGCGUCCUGUGGACCAACUGGGCCAACCUGCUAGAGAAGCAAAUAGAGUUCCUGUUGCUCGCCUUCCUAGGAAGAGAUCUAAGCUAUGUCUACAUGUUCCUGGGAACAUAUAGAGCCUUUGCCACCACCCAAGCAGAAGGUUGCAAGAUAUAGGUGCAUUCUCUCCACUAUGAUGAGGUCAGCGGAGCCCAGGAGCUGCGGAAAAUGUGAGCUUUGGCUGAUACAGGAGGGCCUUCCCUCUCCACCAGGACAGCGAGGGGACUAUGAAUUGGAGGGACUCUUGGACCCUCAAGCCACACAUCUGUGAUUCCUGUUUUAGGGUAAAGGUCUGAGAAUUUCUUCUGGAAAAAGGCAAAUGUCCCAGGGUGGCUGUGGGUGGGGUGUGGGCACUGUGGGAGUGCAGAGGGAGCUGGAGGACAGCUUUAGCCCCUAAGAGAGUCAUUCCCCACCCCCACACCCUCCCAGCCCCAUCUCUAUCCCAAUCCCAGGACCCAGAACAGAUGCUGUGGGAACCAUUACACUCAGCAAUCUGUUGGAACCUGGACACUGGGUGCUCAGAGGGUGCUCAGGAGACCCAAGAGCAGACCUCCCACAUCCUGUGGGAGAUUAAUGUCCAUGGAAGGAGACACACUCAUGAUACCUAGUGAAUGAGACAACGCAUAGACAGAGGAUGUAAAGUUUAAGGCCUGGCUAGAGAUAGAGUUCCUUUGUUCCCUCCUUGGUUGAUCUUCACAGAGCAGUGGGGUGUGCAGUGAGGACAAUGAACAGGCCAGACACCAGCCCUUCCUGGACAUGUGCAGUUUAAUUUAAGUGGCAAGUGGGCAAGGAGACAGAGGAGUGUUUCCAGCUCCUCAGAGGACAGAAAUGGUCCCACCAUUGAUCAAGGGAUCCCACUCAUAGAGGCUUUUUGCCAGCCUGUUGUCUGUGACCAGGCCUGUGUUAGGCGACUGCCAGAUCACAGGUGGACAAGGAGUAGGACUGGUCUCUGAUACUCAGGAGCUGAAGGUCUAGGGCACCAUGUAACCACAGGGGUUUCCUAGGACAUUGGUUUGGGAGGGUGCCCUGUCCUCUGAUUCCUCUGCCUACCUGUCUGUCCCGAGGGUCAUCUAUUCCAUCUUGAACACAUGGCUGGAACAAUAUUCCCAAGAUUUUUUCCAGCCCCUAGAAUUUCCCAGCCUGAAUAUGCUGCUGGCAUACAUGGGGCUCAAUAUGCCAGGCUCAGACCUGGAGUGCCAUGCCCUGCUUCUGCUCUCACAGCUGUAACACCUUGAGCCCAUGGAGCCAGAGGUUGGGGAUGAGGAGGACUGGGGGUGACUGAUGUGGGCCUGUUGGAGGGGACAGGAUGGGCCACACUGAGCAAAUCUUCAUAGAGUGCAGUUGGGCUGAGAGCAGUGAGUAUUCUCAGAUUCCUGUUCCCAUGGGCUUCAGUCACUGAGACCUCCCAAAGAUUGGUUCUUGAGUGGUGGGGAAAGUUUCCUUUAUUUAGAAGGCACAUGGGACGUCAAUCACGCUGAUGAUACUUUCUCUUCUCGGAGCUACAGUACCAGCUCCACAGCAAAGUCCUGAACUACCUCAGGAACUCGCCCCAGCUCCCACUGCGGCACUGGCUGCAGCUUCAGAGCCAGAGCCUGCCCAACGCAUCCCUGUUGCUGGAGAUCACCAGUCAGGAAGAGCAGUGAUACCACCUGCCAUGUCAGGAUUAAUGCAGGUGGUAGUCACAGCUUUAAUUCACUGUCAGAAGCUGGAAGAGCCACCCAAACACUGACAGCCUUGGAUCAGGAGCCAGCUCCAGCCCCAGCUAUUGGGGUUGCUGAAGGUCUCAAGCCACCACCUGCCUCAGUGGAGCAACCAGCCUCAGGCUCCGAGCAACAGCUUGUGCAGGCUGCAGCCCCAAGGAUGGCUUCCCCUCCCCUGUCAUUGCACUGUGUGUAAUUUUUGUGUUUUUUAUACACCUAUAUAAA